This 481-nucleotide ribosomal RNA is filed under the name uncultured bacterium. Its description in RNAcentral is "bacterial SSU rRNA". It matches the Rfam family "Bacterial small subunit ribosomal RNA", at positions 24 to 518 of the family's 1533-position model. The record is from RNAcentral.
UCAGGACGAACGCUGGCGGCGUGCCUAACACAUGCAAGUCGAACGGACGAGGGGAGCUUGCUCCCCAAGUUAGUGGCGGACGGGUGAGUAACACGUGAGCAACCUGCCCUUCGGAGGGGGACAACAGCGGGAAACUGCUGCUAAUACCGCAUAAUGUAUUCUGGAGGCAUCUCCGGGAUACCAAAGAUUUUAUCGCCGAAGGAUGGGCUCGCGUCUGAUUAGAUAGUUGGUGGGGCAACGGCCCACCAAGUCUGCGAUCAGUAGCCGGACUGAGAGGUUGAACGGCCACAUUGGGACUGAGAUACGGCCCAGACUCCUACGGGAGGCAGCAGUGGGGAAUAUUGGGCAAUGGGGGCAAACCCCCUGACCCAGCAACGCCGCGUGGAGGAAGAAGGCUUUCGGGUUGUAAACUCCUUUGACGAGGGACGAUGAUGACGGUACCUCGAAAACAAGCCACGGCUAACUACGUGCCAGCCGCUGC